AUUGAACGCUGGCGGCAGGCCUAACACAUGCAAGUCGAACGGUAGCACAGGAGAGCUUGCUCUCUGGGUGACGAGUGGCGGACGGGUGAGUAAUGCAUGGGGAGCUGCCCAAUCGAGGGGAUACCAGCUGGAAACGGCUGCUAAUACCGCAUACGCCCUGAGGGGAAAGUGGGGACCUUCGGCCUACCGCGAUUGGAUGCACCCAUGUGGGAUUAGCUAGUUGGUGAGGUAACGGCUCACCAAGGCGACGAUCUCUAGCUGGUCUGAGAGGAUGACCAGCCACACUGGAACUGAGACACGGUCCAGACUCCUACGGGAGGCAGCAGUGGGGAAUAUUGCACAAUGGGGGAAACCCUGAUGCAGCCAUGCCGCGUGUGUGAAGAAGGCCUCGG
This 392-nucleotide ribosomal RNA is filed under the name uncultured bacterium. RNAcentral's name for it is "bacterial SSU rRNA". It matches the Rfam family "Bacterial small subunit ribosomal RNA", at positions 30 to 420 of the family's 1533-position model. The record is from RNAcentral.